UACGUAGGGUGCAAGCGUUAAUCGGAAUUACUGGGCGUAAAGCGUGCGCAGGCGGUGAUGUAAGACAGAUGUGAAAUCCCCGGGCUCAACCUGGGAACUGCAUUUGUGACUGCAUCGCUGGAGUGCGGCAGAGGGGGAUGGAAUUCCGCGUGUAGCAGUGAAAUGCGUAGAUAUGCGGAGGAACACCGAUGGCGAAGGCAAUCCCCUGGGCCUGCACUGACGCUCAUGCACGAAAGCGUGGGGAGCAAACAGA
RNAcentral lists this ribosomal RNA (253 nucleotides) under uncultured bacterium. RNAcentral describes it as "partial 16S ribosomal RNA". It matches the Rfam family "Bacterial small subunit ribosomal RNA", at positions 524 to 776 of the family's 1533-position model. The record is from RNAcentral.